Long non-coding RNA from Dendronephthya gigantea, 262 nucleotides. RefSeq lists it as uncharacterized. The transcript is spliced from 3 exons. The record is from RefSeq and is a predicted model, not a curated record. NCBI's taxonomy places the organism in Eukaryota, Metazoa, Cnidaria, Anthozoa, Malacalcyonacea, Nephtheidae.
GGGAGAUAUACAAUGAUAUGGACAUGUUCGAAAGAUGUUUAUCAAAGAAAGAACUGAAGAUGAUAGCAAAGAACCUUAAGAGGAACGUAAUUCCGUACUUGAGGGCAGGAGCUUCUUCUCAUGCCAUCUCUUCCUCAGAGGACAUGAAGAUAUAUCUGAAGUCUCUCGAUUAUGGGCCCGUCAUGUCAUCUAAUAUGGUACAAUCACUAUUUGACGCUUAUCUUCCUGUUGUAAAUGGAAUUCGGAUUGAAGAUGCUAACAC